GGAUAGCCACUAGAAGUGGUGGGUAAUACUGUAUAAUCCCUGCGGGGGAAAGAUUUAUCGCUACAUGAUGAGCCUAUGUUAGAUUAGCUAGUUGGUGGGGUAAUGGCCUACCAAGGCAGUGAUCUAUAGCUGGUCUGAGAGGAUGAUCAGCCACACUGGAACUGAGACACGGUCCAGACUCCUACGGGAGGCAGCAGUGGGGAAUAUUGGACAAUGGGCGCAAGCCUGAUCCAGCUAUGCCGCGUGAGUGAGGAAGGCCUUAGGGUUGUAAAACUCUUUCAGUAGGGAAGAUAAUGACGGUACC
This 304-nucleotide ribosomal RNA is filed under the name Anaplasma phagocytophilum. Its description in RNAcentral is "bacterial SSU rRNA". It matches the Rfam family "Bacterial small subunit ribosomal RNA", at positions 141 to 479 of the family's 1533-position model. The record is from RNAcentral. Lineage: Bacteria; Pseudomonadati; Pseudomonadota; Alphaproteobacteria; Rickettsiales; Anaplasmataceae.